UGUGCACGUUUCAGUGAUGGCUGGAAGGCUCCCAGGGACACUGAUAAGUCUGUCCCUUCUCUUCCUCCCUCCAGCUGCCUUUGGGAGGGCACAGGAAAGCACAUGAGAUCCCCAUGAAUGCAGCAGUGGGGCAAGCAGAAAGCCAGCUCCAGGAAAGUGAGAAAGCUAUAUUUACUCUGGUUCAAGUGCUUUGACUCUCAGCAGAUCAAGUGCAGCAUAAAUCCCCAAGCCUCCCAAAGAGAGCUUGUGGACCACUCUGAACUCAUCAACCCCUCUGCAACGUUAGUCCUGGACUGCCCCUCACAUCCCAGGCCUGGACACACCACUCCAUGCAAGCUGGGAAAACAGCUGGGAGCCUCCAAGCCUUUGCUCAUCUCUCAGAUAAUGCUUUCAUUUCAGUGAGGGAAGCUGCAGACACAAGAGACUGACAGCAGACUGGAGA
Non-coding RNA from Cyanistes caeruleus (blue tit), 442 nucleotides. NCBI's taxonomy places the organism in Eukaryota, Metazoa, Chordata, Aves, Passeriformes, Paridae. The record is from RefSeq and is a predicted model, not a curated record.